This 489-nucleotide ribosomal RNA is filed under the name uncultured bacterium. RNAcentral's name for it is "partial 16S ribosomal RNA". It matches the Rfam family "Bacterial small subunit ribosomal RNA", at positions 29 to 504 of the family's 1533-position model. The record is from RNAcentral.
AGUGAACGCUGGCGGUAGGCCUAACACAUGCAAGUCGAACGGCAGCACAAUAAGAGCUUGCUCUUACGGGUGGCGAGUGGCGGACGGGUGAGGAAUACAUCGGAAUCUACUUUUUCGUGGGGGAUAACGUAGGGAAACUUACGCUAAUACCGCAUACGACCUACGGGUGAAAGCAGGGGAUCUUCGGACCUUGCGCGAUUGAAUGAGCCGAUGUCGGAUUAGCUAGUUGGCGGGGUAAAGGCCCACCAAGGCGACGAUCCGUAGCUGGUCUGAGAGGAUGAUCAGCCACACUGGAACUGAGACACGGUCCAGACUCCUACGGGAGGCAGCAGUGGGGAAUAUUGGACAAUGGGCGCAAGCCUGAUCCAGCCAUACCGCGUGGGUGAAGAAGGCCUGCGGGUUGUAAAGCCCUUUUGUUGGGAAAGAAAAGCAGCAGGUUAAUACCCCGCUGUGCUGACGGUACCCAAAGAAUGAGCACCGGCUAACUUC